This 90-nucleotide transfer RNA is filed under the name Finegoldia magna. RNAcentral describes it as "tRNA-Ser". It matches the Rfam family "tRNA". Rfam says of the family: Transfer RNA (tRNA) molecules are approximately 80 nucleotides in length. Their secondary structure includes four short double-helical elements and three loops (D, anti-codon, and T loops). Further hydrogen bonds mediate the characteristic L-shaped molecular structure. tRNAs have two regions of fundamental functional importance: the anti-codon, which is responsible for specific mRNA codon recognition, and the 3' end, to which the tRNAs corresponding amino acid is attached (by aminoacyl-tRNA synthetases). tRNAs cope with the degeneracy of the genetic code in two manners: having more than one tRNA (with a specific anti-codon) for a particular amino acid; and 'wobble' base-pairing, i.e. permitting non-standard base-pairing at the 3rd anti-codon position. The record is from RNAcentral. Lineage: Bacteria; Bacillati; Bacillota; Tissierellia; Tissierellales; Peptoniphilaceae.
GGAGAAAUAUCGAAGUGGUCAUAACGGGGCGCACUCGAAAUGCGUUUGGGAUUAAUUCCCACGUGGGUUCGAAUCCCACUUUCUCCGCCA